UGAGACCACAAACAACCUUCCAAACCCACAUAGCAUACACGGAAGAAAACACUAUCCAAACCUAAAUGGGCAAACAUGGCGAAAGAGAGAACCACCAGCCACGUUAGAAGCGAUGGAAGCUGUAACGAGAUGAGAGAACAUAGAGGGAAUGGGAUACAAAACGAAAUCAUCAAAUCGUGGAGCUGUACUCGAGCUAUGAAAGAGAGCAUAAAAGUCAGAUCAACAAAAACUAGAUCUUGAAAACCAAGACGAUCAAGGACUAUAAACCGCAAGCCAACGACGAGGAAGACAACAUCAAAUAUGACUAACGCUUCCCCAAAGAAGGAGAUGCAGUCCCUAACAUCAGCCUAAAUCUAAGGAAAAAGAGGAGCAUCCAAUAUUGACCCGGACAGCCUCCAACGCCAUGAGAAACAACCACACAAUUAGGAACUCAUAAACCCGAUCUACAACAAAAAUCAGAUAAUCUCAGAGAAGAAGAAGGCAAGGAAGAACAAGAGCACGGAGGUGACUCUUUUUCCGUGAUGGUGAGAAGCAUCGCAUACCUGAAAGGCAAACAAAAUUCAUAGAUGGUGAUGGCUCAAGGUCAAAAUAUGAGGAGAUUGCAAAAAAUAUCUUAAAAGAAUAAUGUUCAAAAUUUUAAAAUAAAAUAUAAUUUUGACGCUGAAACCUUAAUUCUUAGAAUCGACAAAUGUCUAAAUGCAAAGUUAUUGAAAUUCAAUAUGCCUUACAUCAGAAGUUCACUUCACCACUAACAAGUACACUACUAUACAUACAACAACACAUUAUUAAAAAACAAACACAUAAUAUAU
RNAcentral lists this long non-coding RNA (809 nucleotides) under Brassica napus (rape). Its description in RNAcentral is "long non-coding RNA (BNAP_LNC018678)". Lineage: Eukaryota; Viridiplantae; Streptophyta; Magnoliopsida; Brassicales; Brassicaceae. The record is from RNAcentral.